RNAcentral lists this ribosomal RNA (172 nucleotides) under Hannaella luteola. RNAcentral's name for it is "5.8S ribosomal RNA". The stretch from base 6 to 159 matches the Rfam family "5.8S ribosomal RNA". Rfam says of the family: 5.8S ribosomal RNA (5.8S rRNA) is a component of the large subunit of the eukaryotic ribosome. Lineage: Eukaryota; Fungi; Basidiomycota; Tremellomycetes; Tremellales; Bulleribasidiaceae. The record is from RNAcentral.
AAUACAACUUUCAACAACGGAUCUCUUGGCUCUCGCAUCGAUGAAGAACGCAGCGAAAUGCGAUAAGUAAUGUGAAUUGCAGAAUUCAGUGAAUCAUCGAAUCUUUGAACGCACAUUGCGCCUUUUGGUAUUCCGAAAGGCAUGCCUGUUUGAGUGUCAUAAAAACUCUCAU